GCGGGCGUGGCGGAAUUGGUAGACGCAACGGACUUAAAAUCCGUCGACUUCGGUCAUCCGGGUUCGAUCCCCGGCGCCCGCACCA
RNAcentral lists this transfer RNA (85 nucleotides) under Poindextera montana. RNAcentral describes it as "Caulobacter sp. S6 tRNA-Leu". It matches the Rfam family "tRNA". From Rfam's summary of the family: Transfer RNA (tRNA) molecules are approximately 80 nucleotides in length. Lineage: Bacteria; Pseudomonadati; Pseudomonadota; Alphaproteobacteria; Caulobacterales; Caulobacteraceae. The record is from RNAcentral.